GUCUAGAGGCUUCGGCAAUGGACGAAAGUCUGACCGAGCGACGCCGCGUGUGGGAUGAAGGCCUUCGGGUUGUAAACCACUGUCAGCAGGGAAGAAUACCGGGAUGGUGAAUCUCGGGGUGACGGUACCUGCAGAGGAAGCCACGGCUAACUCCGUGCCAGCAGCCGCGGUAAUACGGAGGUGGCAAGCGUUGUUCGGAAUUACUGGGCGUAAAGGGCGCGUAGGCGGAAUGGUCCGUCCGAUGUAAAAGUGCUACCGCUUAACGGAGCAAAGCCAUCGGAUACCGCCAUUCUUGAGACUGGGAGAGGUGAGUGGAAUUGCUGGUGUAGCGGUGGAAUGUACAGAUAUCAGCAAGAACACCGGUGGCGAAGGCGGCUCACUGGCCCAGUUCUGACGCUGAGUGCGCGAAAGCGUGGGGAGCAAACGGGAUUAGAAACCCUGGUAGUCC
RNAcentral lists this ribosomal RNA (448 nucleotides) under uncultured bacterium. RNAcentral describes it as "bacterial SSU rRNA". It matches the Rfam family "Bacterial small subunit ribosomal RNA", at positions 354 to 796 of the family's 1533-position model. The record is from RNAcentral.